GACGAACGCUGGCGGCGUGCUUAACACAUGCAAGUCGAACGGAAAGGCCCUGCGUUUGUGGGGUGCUCGAGUGGCGAACGCGUGAGUAACACGUGAGUAACCUGCCCUUGACUUUGGGAUAACUUCAGGAAACUGGGGCUAAUACCGUAUAGGAUCUCCUGCUGCAUGGUGGGGGUUGGAACGUUUCGGCGGUUGGGGAUGGACUCGCGGCUGAUCAGCUUGUUGGUGGGGUAGUGGCUUACCAAGGCUUUGACGGGUAGCCGGCCUGAGAGGGUGACCGGCCACAUUGGGACUGAGAUACGGACCAGACUCCUACGGGAGGCAGCAGUGGGGAAUAUUGCACAAUGGGCGGAAGCCUGAUGAAGCAACGCCGCGUGCGGGAUGACGGCCUUCGGGUUGUAAACCGCUUUCGCCUGUGACGAAGCGUGAGUGACGGUAAUGGGUAAAGAAGCACCGGCUAACUACGUG
Molecule: ribosomal RNA, 468 nt
Filed under: uncultured bacterium
Lineage: Bacteria
Description: partial 16S ribosomal RNA
Rfam family: Bacterial small subunit ribosomal RNA
Source: RNAcentral